This 494-nucleotide ribosomal RNA is filed under the name uncultured bacterium. RNAcentral describes it as "partial 16S ribosomal RNA". It matches the Rfam family "Bacterial small subunit ribosomal RNA", at positions 28 to 507 of the family's 1533-position model. The record is from RNAcentral.
GACGAACGCUGGCGGCGCGCUUAACACAUGCAAGUCGAACGGAAAGGCCGGCUUUCCUUUGUGGAAUGCGGGUACUCGAGUGGCGAACGGGGGAGUAACACGGGAGUGAUUUGUCCCCAACGUGGGUAUAAGGCAGGGAAACUGGGUCUAAUUCCCGAUAGGACUGCAGGGUGGUGCGUGUGGUGGAAAACGAGUUUCUAGAGGUUGGGGAUGAGCGCGCGGCCUAUCUGCUUGUUGUUGGGGUAAUGGCCUACCAAGGCGGGGACGGGUAGCCGGCCUGAGAGGGUGGACGGCCACAUUGGGACUGGGUUACGGCCCAGACUCGUACGGGCGGCGGCAGUUGGGAAUAUUGCACCGUGGGCGUGAGCCUGCUGCAGCGACGCCGCGUAGGAGAUGUCGGCCUUCGAGUUGUAAACUCCUGUCGACCGCGAGGAAGCCACCUGGUUGGCAGGGUGGUGACGGUAGUGGUAGAAGAAGCACCGGCUAACUACGUG